RNAcentral lists this RNase P RNA (403 nucleotides) under Bacteroidota bacterium. RNAcentral describes it as "Bacteroidetes bacterium (marine metagenome) RNase P RNA component class A". It matches the Rfam family "Bacterial RNase P class A". Rfam says of the family: Ribonuclease P (RNase P) is a ubiquitous endoribonuclease, found in archaea, bacteria and eukarya as well as chloroplasts and mitochondria. Its best characterised activity is the generation of mature 5'-ends of tRNAs by cleaving the 5'-leader elements of precursor-tRNAs. Cellular RNase Ps are ribonucleoproteins. The record is from RNAcentral. Lineage: Bacteria; Pseudomonadati; Bacteroidota.
GCAGCAGACCGUCCUGUCGCGGUCCGUUUGUUGCGGGCUGAGGAAAGUCCGGGCAACGCAGGGCGCCCCGCUUCCGAAAGGGAAGAUGCCCGUGAGGGCAUGGAAGUGGAGAAGAAAAUAACUUCCUGUCUGUGUGUUUCAGGGUUUUCACUGAUACCGGGCAGGUAAAGGUGAGAAGGUGGGGUAAGAGCCCACCAGUUCUGCUGGUGACAGCAGAAGCUGUCCACCCCGGGGGUUGUAAGACCAUGUAUACCGGCGUUUGAGGGUGGCCCGCCCGAUGCCGGGGGGUAGGUCGCUUGAGCCCGGCGGCGACGCCGGGCCCAGAUAAAUGACAGGAACCCGUACCGCCUCUGUCUCAGAACAGGUGCGGGUACAGAACCCGGCUUACAGGUCUGCUGCUUUU